This 522-nucleotide ribosomal RNA is filed under the name uncultured bacterium. Its description in RNAcentral is "bacterial SSU rRNA". It matches the Rfam family "Bacterial small subunit ribosomal RNA", at positions 777 to 1297 of the family's 1533-position model. The record is from RNAcentral.
AAUAGAUACCCCGGUAGUCCACGCCGUAAACGAUGAGUGCUAAGUGUUAGAGGGUUUCCGCCCUUUAGUGCUGCAGCUAACGCAUUAAGCACUCCGCCUGGGGAGUACGGCCGCAAGGCUGAAACUCAAAGGAAUUGACGGGGGCCCGCACAAGCGGUGGAGCAUGUGGUUUAAUUCGAAGCAACGCGAAGAACCUUACCAGGUCUUGACAUCCUCUGCCAACCCUAGAGAUAGGGCGUUCCCCUUCGGGGGACAGAGUGACAGGUGGUGCAUGGUUGUCGCCAGCUCGUGUCGUGAGAUGUUGGGUUAAGUCCCGCAACGAGCGCAACCCUUGAUCUUAGUUGCCAGCAUUCAGUUGGGCACUCUAAGGUGACUGCCGGUGACAAACCGGAGGAAGGUGGGGAUGACGUCAAAUCAUCAUGCCCCUUAUGACCUGGGCUACACACGUGCUACAAUGGAUGGUACAAAGAGCAGCGAACCCGCGAGGGUAAGCCAAUCUCAUAAAGCCAUUCUCAGUUCGGA